RNAcentral lists this ribosomal RNA (253 nucleotides) under uncultured bacterium. RNAcentral describes it as "partial 16S ribosomal RNA". It matches the Rfam family "Bacterial small subunit ribosomal RNA", at positions 524 to 776 of the family's 1533-position model. The record is from RNAcentral.
UACGUAGGGUGCGAGCGUUAAUCGGAAUUACUGGGCGUAAAGUGUGCGCAGGCGGCAAAGCAAGUCGAGUGUGAAAGCCCCGGGCUUAACCCGGGAAUGGCAUUGAAUACUGCUGAUCUGGAGGAUCGGAGGGGGGACUGGAAUUCUUGGUGUAGCAGUGAAAUGCGUAGAUAUCAAGAGGAACACCGAUGGCGAAGGCAGCCCCCUGGGUUAACACUGACGCUCAGGCACGAAAGCGUGGGGAGCAAACAGG